UACGAAGGGUGCAAGCGUUACUCGGAAUUACUGGGCGUAAAGCGUGCGUAGGCGGUAUGUUAAGUCUGAUGUGAAAUCCCCGGGCUCAACCUGGGAAUGGCAUUGGAUACUGGCAGGCUAGAGUACGGUAGAGGGUGGUGGAAUUCCCGGUGUAGCAGUGAAAUGCGUAGAGAUGUGGAGGAACACCGAUGGCGAAGGCAGCCCCCUGGGUCGACACUGACGCUCAUGCACGAAAGCGUGGGGAGCAAACAGG
RNAcentral lists this ribosomal RNA (253 nucleotides) under uncultured prokaryote. Its description in RNAcentral is "partial 16S ribosomal RNA". It matches the Rfam family "Bacterial small subunit ribosomal RNA", at positions 524 to 776 of the family's 1533-position model. The record is from RNAcentral.